Molecule: ribosomal RNA, 274 nt
Filed under: uncultured bacterium
Lineage: Bacteria
Description: partial 16S ribosomal RNA
Rfam family: Bacterial small subunit ribosomal RNA
Source: RNAcentral
AUACGGAGGAUGCGAGCGUUAUCCGGAUUUAUUAGGUUUAAAGGGUGUGUAGGCGGUAUUUUAAGUCAGUGGUGAAAUCUCGGAGCUUAACUUCGAAACUGCCAUUGAUACUGGAAUACUUGAGUAUAGUUGAGGUAGGCGGAAUAUGUAAUGUAGCGGUGAAAUGCAUAGAUAUUACAUAGAACAUCGAUUGCGAAGGAAGCUUACUAAACUAUUACUGACGCUGAUGCACGAAAGCGUGGGGAGCGAACAGGAGUAGAUACCCCAGUAGUCC